GUCAUUCAUCAUCUAGUGAUCGCUAUAGUAGUCAUGGAGGCAGCCGAGGUGGGCGUGGAGUAUCUCGGCGCUCUGAUUAUCGUGUAUUAGUCACAGGAUUACCUUCUUCUGCUUCAUGGCAAGACUUAAAGGAUCACAUGCGGCGAGCUGGGGACGUUUGUUUCUCCCAAGUGUUUCGUGAUGGUAGUGGGACCACAGGGAUUGUGGAUUACACCAACUAUGAUGACAUGAAGUAUGCUAUUAAGAA
RNAcentral lists this unclassified non-coding RNA (247 nucleotides) under Hevea brasiliensis (rubber tree). Lineage: Eukaryota; Viridiplantae; Streptophyta; Magnoliopsida; Malpighiales; Euphorbiaceae. The record is from RNAcentral.